Molecule: ribosomal RNA, 490 nt
Filed under: uncultured bacterium
Lineage: Bacteria
Description: partial 16S ribosomal RNA
Rfam family: Bacterial small subunit ribosomal RNA
Source: RNAcentral
AUUGAACGCUGGCGGCAUGCUUUGCACAUGCAAGUCGGACGGCAGCGGGGUAGUGCUUGCACUACUGCCGGCGAGUGGCGAACGGGUGAGUAAUAUAUUGGAACGUACCGAGUAAUGGGGGAUAACCAAUCGAAAGAUUGGCUAAUACCGCAUACGCUCUGAGGAGGAAAGCAGGGGACCUUCGGGCCUUGCGUUAUUCGAGCGGCCAAUAUCUGAUUAGCUAGUUGGUGGGGCAAGGGCCUACCAAGGCGACGAUCAGUAGCGGGUCUGAGAGGAUGAUCCGCCACACUGGGACUGAGACACGGCCCAGACUCCUACGGGAGGCAGCAGUGGGGAAUUUUGGACAAUGGGCGCAAGCCUGAUCCAGCCAUGCCGCGUGUCUGAAGAAGGCCUUCGGGUUGUAAAGGACUUUUGUUAGGGAAGAAAAAGGAGCGGUUAAUACCCGUUUCUGCUGACGGUACCUAAAGAAUAAGCACCGGCUAACUACGUG